Molecule: transfer RNA, 85 nt
Organism: Waddlia chondrophila
Lineage: Bacteria; Pseudomonadati; Chlamydiota; Chlamydiia; Parachlamydiales; Waddliaceae
Rfam family: tRNA
About the family: Transfer RNA (tRNA) molecules are approximately 80 nucleotides in length.
Source: Rfam
GGAAGAGUGGCAGAGUGGCCGAAUGCGUCUGUCUUGAAAACAGAAGACCUGCAAGGGUCCGGGGGUUCGAAUCCCUCCUCUUCCG